CCUACGGGUGGCAGCAGUGGGGGAUAUUGCACAAUGGGGGGAACCCUGAUGCAGCGACGCCGCGUGGGUGAAGGAGUGCUUCGGCAUGUAAAGUCCUAUCGGCAGGGAAGAAGCAAGAGGGUAUCUGACUAAGAAGCAACGGCUAACCACGCGCCAGAAGCCGCGGCUAGACGUAGGGGGCAAGCGUUAGUCGGAUUUACUGGGCGUAAAGGGGGCGCAGAUGGCAGGUCAAGCCAGAUGUGAAAGCCCGGGGCCCAACCCGGGAACUGCUCCUGGGACUGCGCGGCUGGAGGGCAGGAGGGGCGGGUGGAAUUCCAGGUGUAGCGGUGAAAUGCGUAGAGAUCAGGAGGAACACCGGUGGCGAAGGCGGCCUGCUGGACGACGAAUGACGUUGAGGUCCGAAAGCGUGGGGAGCAAACAGGAUUAGAUACCCGGGUAGUC
This 441-nucleotide ribosomal RNA is filed under the name uncultured bacterium. Its description in RNAcentral is "partial 16S ribosomal RNA". It matches the Rfam family "Bacterial small subunit ribosomal RNA", at positions 338 to 795 of the family's 1533-position model. The record is from RNAcentral.